AGUAAAAAUUUCAUGCAUUUCAGAAUUUAUCACUUACCUACAGUUCAACCCAAAGUUGGAGCAGAUUUUAUUUCGAAUUUGAAUAGUAGCAUCUUUGAAAUUUUCCAAGAUUUUUUUAUAAAAUUCUGAGCACGAAAACAUUUAGAUCAUGCUAAUCUUGAGAAGCUUAUGAAGGAAUAGAGGAGGAAGAGAUGUUUUAGUAAAUCUCAUUUGCGUUUAUUUUCAUUCAGCCCCUGCCUUUGACACUGGCCAGUGGGUGAGUCCAGCAGCGCCAUCUAGCAAGGACAACGGACACGCGGCCGCAAACCAGCUGCCCCUUCCCUCCUCACUUCAUAUCCUCUUCUCUUGGAUCCCCUCUCUCGUCUAGCUCGCCGGGGGCACCGCCGCUCGUCGUUGCAACGCCGGUCACAGGAACCGGCGGGAUUCGGCAGCCCUCAGUCUGGAUCGACGUCCAUGCCUCCAGCUUCGACAUGCACGCCAGCUGGACGGCGCCGUGAAUCGCCUCGUUUUCUAGUGCGUUCUUGCUCCCAGCGUGCAGGAACCUCUUGGACCGAGGCCGCCUUCCUCGGUUCCGUCAGCCGCCGCGGUCGUCAUCCUCACCGAACAGCUAUAGGGACUUUGAGGGGCUCUGCUUUGUCCACAUCUGCUCUGGACCACAGAUUUGAAGCCGCGGAUCCCUCCUACUUCUUCCUGACGCUGACCGCCAUUACCACUGCCCAUAGCUCGUUGCUCUGCUCUGUCCGACCUCGCCACUAACAGCAGGGUGAGAAAUCGCCGCCGCUGUUGGUGUUGUUUGCUACUUGCCGUUGUCGCUUCAUGCUGCUGGUCACUUGUUGCUUGCCGUUGAUGCUCAAUGAUGUUAGCCGUGACCUGCCUGUAGAUGAGAGAAAGAGAGAUUGAUUUGCUAGUGCAAGUAUCUAAUGAGCCAGAUGCCAGCUGUUUUGAUCUUUUCAGCAAACGCUAUUGGGAAGGUAAAACGUUCUCUGAAUAUUUUUUCUAUACCCUAUCAAGCCAAUGACGUGGUACAAAGGAAUUAGUGAGAAAGUUUUGUGUGUUACCUUAUCAUAUAGAUGCAAGUAGUUUGGGAAAAGCAACUUCCGCCUAUCAUCUAUGACAAAUAAAAUGCAUAGGAAUAAUAAAAAGAAUUACUAUGGCUUUUAUGCUAUCGCAUUUGCUUGAUCGAAACUAUCAUCUUGGGGUUAGCCUAGAACUCCUCGCAAACUGCUGCUACCAAGCCAUGUUCUUUACAGUCCGCAAUGCUACGACUAAUAAUUUACUCAGGCUACAUAACUCGGGUUGCAAUUUCUAAGUAUUCUUUUCAUACUCAUUUGUGUCUAUGUCAUAAUUGAUGAUUAUGAUGAAAUUUCUUCUACAUGUGUUCUGAUAUGUUUCUCAUAUACUGCAGUUGUGAGUGUGGGAGCGACACUGUUUUUAUUUCAGUAACUUGCUGGCAUAAAUGUUGCCGUGUACUACUCUACGUCCAUGUUCCACAGUACAGGUCUUGCAUCUAAUGUUGCAGCGAGUGCUCUUGUUCGGUGAUGCCAAUGUUUUUGGCACCAUGAUUGCAUCUCCACUGAUGGUCAAGCAAGGAAGGAAGAGCCUUCUCAUAACAAGAUUAUCUGGAAUGGCUUGUCGAUGUUACUCUUGUCAUUGUCCUUCACUUGGAAGGCUUUAGCACCUUAUUAUGGCACUCUUGCUGUUGUUGGCACUGUCCUGUAAGUGGUUUACAUUCACCUAAUAUGGUGUUCUCCUGGUUUUUCAUUAUCACUAAUUUUAGCUCAUAACUAACUCCAAAUCUUGAUAGUAAUUUUAUGAGUGCGGUGUGAGCACACAACACCCACAAACCAAUUUCAGUAAUCUCCGUAAGCCACUUAAGUGCGGUGUGAGCACCCCACUUUAAUAUUUGACCCGCCUAACAUAUAUAACCAAUGUUUACUCCAUCACACAAUCCUUGUGCUCCAGCUUCUAAUCUUCAAAUCAUACAUCAGAUGUAGCAUCAUCUACGACAUGGGUGUUCCUUUAGUAGUUGUAAACAUCUAGAUGCCAAUACCUACAGGAAGUUAAGCUAGGGAUUAGAAAUCUAAGUUCAAUCGCAGCCCACAGGGCCUGGGGGACGGGGAAAGUUUUUGACUGUACCUGAUGUGUUGGCGAUAUUUAAAGGCUAACACAAUCAUCAUUCUGUUUAAAUGGUUUCCCUGGUUCUUAUCAAGGGCAGGUCUAGCGCGGUAAUCACCUGUGGCAUGGUCAUUCCUCCAGAAACAAUUAUUUCUGUAGAGAGAUAAUAGUAGAAACUUAAGAUUAGAAAUUCAGGUGAUAUAGUAAAAGUGCUAUUAAAAAGACCAUCAAACUUAGCAACCGCAAAAAGGAGGCACUACCAAAAUAAGCUUAUGCUAGAUUGAGAUGUUACAAAAAAACAACGAACAAGAGGAUACGAUGAUAUCUGAGUGAUUUCUGGUAGAGAACCUAACAACAACAACAUAUAGUAUUCGCAAGUGUUCAUAGGAUUUAGCAGUUAAAGGAACCGCUCUAAAAGACAUCACAUUACCAGAUAAAUGUGUAAAGGCCCCAUAACCUUGAAGUAUCUCUAGCUGGCCUUUUCAGGGCUUGCACAACAAAUUUAUGUACGAGAGACUGAUUUAAACCACCUUAUAUAUAGACUAUAGGUUAAUCCUGAUAAGCUAACUAUUAAGAUAAGCCUAGCCAGGCUACAUUAGACUUGAUUGUUUGGGUGAACCUUUACACUCUUGAUAUUUAAGUGUUUAGUUGUCACAAAUUACAACUAAAGGAUAACACUUUCUUGAAAGUGAACUAUUUCAAGAAUGAGGUAACACAGAAAAAGAGCACACACAAGUAUGGUAUGAAUCUUUAUGUAGCUAAUAAUGAAAAUUAUAAAUCAAAAUUCUUGAAAGCAUAUAAAUGAGUAAAUUAUCCAGAAUGAAGCAUUCAAAUAUUGUUGAUGCCAUGAAUCCAUCUGUAGAAAGCGUUGUGCAUAAACAAGUACCUGAAGAAUCAUGCUCGAUGUUAUAAACCCAAAUGCGUAUUCACCAGCACGAGGAUGGCUAAUUAUUGCCACUUCUUUAAAUGCUGAUGUAUUUUGAUAUGUCAAAUGAAUAAAACACAUUUUAAGAAUUUUUUUCUGGUUGGACAGAAGAAUAUUCCAUCAUUUUAUUCUCUCUAGUUAAGCAGUCGUGCAUGAUACAUUAUGUGUCAUAAUGAAUCGGUCCCGAUUGUAAAUUAUUCUCUUAUGAGCAGAAUAUGGCUUAAAGAAUUAGACAAGUGCAAAAAGCUACAAACAGCAGUACGUCACACAUGCAACCUUUUUAUGUAUAAGCAACAAAAAUUGUUAUAUCAUAUAUCUCCAGUGGCGAAAUAUUACGCAAGGGUUAACACAAAAUUAGCAUGGUAAAGUAUAUACAUUUACGGAGAAGAGACCAAUACCUGAGAUGCAUUAGGAAUCAUCAAUCAAGCUGUUGGCAUGGAAAAUAAAACCAUAGAUGUAUUAAUCUUCUGACUGAAGGUGGAAUCAGCCAAGCUUCCCACCUUGACAUAAGAGGUGAGUUUCACUAUCAAAAUAUAUCAAUGCACAACCAUAAAUCAAUGCACUAAAAGCUCAUAACAUCAGAUUUUUGUUCAAGCAAUCACAACUUGAUCAUAUGAACCAUGCACUUGUAAUCAUCAUUCAGGAGGUAGAAUAUCAAAUCGAAAGAAAAACGGAAGAAGGAUUCUAGGAAUCGUGAUGCCUCAAAAGGAAGGCAGUAGUAUGAGGAAGAGGACCUCACCUUAAUGUCGAAGGCAGCAAGGCAUCAAAACCAGAAUGUAGAACAGAGGAUUGAAGAAAACUUGGUUAGACCAUUUGACUGCGUCCCUCUCAGAUCUGAGUCCUGUAAACCAUCUCGCUAUCCGCACCCACUGCGUCCCUCUUAGAUCCGACUCCUGUAAAAACACUAAACUCCAACUAAGAGGGAGAACAUGAGCUAAGCGCAAACACGACAAAAAACAGAAGAAAAUAAUGUUUGAGAAGAAUGGAAAAGAUAGAUAAUGUUUUAUCUCAGAUGUCAACCACAAGGGUAAGCCUGUAUUAUGUAGACAUAUCAACAUGGCAUCAGUUCAGAUCACCCAUCUGCUUGUAUGAUUUUCAUGGAGAAAGAUUUUAAACCAAAAAUCAUCAACAAAGAACAAAUCAAGUCAAAACAUUAUCAACUCAUCAAGAGGCCAAAAUAGAGACCAGAUAGCAAAAAAAAAGAUAGCUGAAAAAACAAAAAUGAAUAGCCAAAUCAUAAGUUGUUGCGACAGAUCCCUCAGAGUGAUAACAUAGAUCUCAUCAAUGUAUGAAUCAGGCCAUUGCUUUUUAACAUCACAAAUAUUCAGCGGGAUCCACGAACGACAAUCUCCAAUCCAUAGAAAGAAAAAUCAAACAGAAACCAUAUGCAGCAUCCUCAGCUCAAGUCCGCAGUUAUUUGACAUUGAGAAUUUCACAAAAAAUGGACAAGCUGUCAGACAAUGGUUUUUAGGCAAAUGCAUCUCCAUCAGACCACAACGAUGUUUGCUGCUCAUAUUUUCAUCCAGGACACCAGAAGAGACACACAACCAAAUAAUAGUAGAA
Molecule: long non-coding RNA, 4603 nt
Organism: Triticum aestivum (bread wheat)
Lineage: Eukaryota; Viridiplantae; Streptophyta; Magnoliopsida; Poales; Poaceae
Exons: 4
Source: RefSeq, a predicted model, not a curated record